GUGGUUGUAGCUCAGUGGUACAGCACUUGCCUAGCACAUGUGACACUCUGGGUUCGAUUCUCAGCACCACA
Molecule: transfer RNA, 71 nt
Filed under: Marmota marmota marmota (Alpine marmot)
Lineage: Eukaryota; Metazoa; Chordata; Mammalia; Rodentia; Sciuridae
Also listed under: 1 other name
Rfam family: tRNA
About the family: Transfer RNA (tRNA) molecules are approximately 80 nucleotides in length. Their secondary structure includes four short double-helical elements and three loops (D, anti-codon, and T loops).
Source: Rfam by way of RNAcentral